Molecule: ribosomal RNA, 467 nt
Filed under: uncultured bacterium
Lineage: Bacteria
Description: partial 16S ribosomal RNA
Rfam family: Bacterial small subunit ribosomal RNA
Source: RNAcentral
GACGAACGCUGGCGGCGUGCUUAACACAUGCAAGUCGAACGGAAAGGCCUCUUUCGGGGGGUACUCGAGUGGCGAACGGGUGAGUAACACGUGAGUAACCUGCCCUUGACUUUGGGAUAACUUCAGUAAACUGGGGCUAAUACCGGAUAGGAGCUCCUGCUGCAUGGUGGGGGUUGGAAAGUUUCGGCGGUUGGGGAUGGACUCGCGGCUUAUCAGCUUGUUGGUGGGGUAGUGGCUUACCAAGGCUUUGACGGGUAGCCGGCCUGAGAGGGUGACCGGCCGCAUUGGGACUGGGAUACGGCCCAGACUCCUACGGGAGGCAGCAGUGGGGAAUAUUGCACAAUGGGUGGAAGCCUGAUGCAGCAACGCCGUGUGCGGGAUGACGGCCUUCGGGUUGGAAACCGCUUUCGCUCAUGACGAAGCUUUGUGUGACGGUAGUGGGUAAAGAAGCACCGGCUAACUACGUG